UUAGGCCUACGGGAGGCAGCAGUGAGGAAUAUUGGUCAAUGGGCGGGAGCCUGAACCAGCCACGUCGCGUGAGGGAAGACGGUCCUACGGAUUGUAAACCUCUUUUGCCGGGGAGCAACGGGGUCCUUGCGAGGGCCCGAUGAGAGUACCCGGAGAAAAAGCAUCGGCUAACUCCGUGCCAGCAGCCGCGGUAAUACGGAGGAUGCGAGCGUUAUCCGGAUUUAUUGGGUUUAAAGGGUGCGCAGGCGGGCUGUUAAGCCGGCGGUAAAAAUUCAGGGCUCAACCCUGUCGAGCCGUCGGAACUG
RNAcentral lists this ribosomal RNA (305 nucleotides) under uncultured bacterium. Its description in RNAcentral is "bacterial SSU rRNA". It matches the Rfam family "Bacterial small subunit ribosomal RNA", at positions 333 to 635 of the family's 1533-position model. The record is from RNAcentral.